UAACCUGCCUAUUAGAGGGGGAUAACUAUUGGAAACGAUAGCUAAUACCGCAUAACAGUAUGUAACACAUGUUAGAUGCUUGAAAGAUGCAACUGCAUCGCUAGUAGAUGGACCUGCGUUGUAUUAGCUAGUAGGUAGGGUAAUGGCCUACCUAGGCGACGAUACAUAGCCGACCUGAGAGGGUGAUCGGCCACACUGGGACUGAGACACGGCCCAG
Molecule: ribosomal RNA, 217 nt
Filed under: uncultured bacterium
Lineage: Bacteria
Description: partial 16S ribosomal RNA
Rfam family: Bacterial small subunit ribosomal RNA
Source: RNAcentral